RNAcentral lists this ribosomal RNA (484 nucleotides) under uncultured bacterium. Its description in RNAcentral is "partial 16S ribosomal RNA". It matches the Rfam family "Bacterial small subunit ribosomal RNA", at positions 30 to 507 of the family's 1533-position model. The record is from RNAcentral.
AUUGAACGCUGGCGGCAGGCCUAACACAUGCAAGUCGAGCGGAUGAAGGGAGCUUGCUCCUGGAUUCAGCGGCGGACGGGUGAGUAAUGCCUAGGAAUCUGCCUGGUAGUGGGGGAUAACGUCCGGAAACGGGCGCUAAUACCGCAUACGUCCUGAGGGAGAAAGUGGGGGAUCUUCGGACCUCACGCUAUCAGAUGAGCCUAGGUCGGAUUAGCUAGUUGGUGGGGUAAAGGCCUACCAAGGCGACGAUCCGUAACUGGUCUGAGAGGAUGAUCAGUCACCCUGGAAGUGAACCAGCGUCAAGACGACUAAGGGACGCACCAGUGGGGAAUAUUGGACAGUGGGGGAAAACCUGAUACAGCCAUGCCGAGUGUGUGAAGACGGUCUUCGGAUUGUAAAGCCCUUUAAGUUGGGAGAAAGGGCAGUCAGUUAAUACCUUGCUGUUUUGACGUUACCAACAGAAUAAGCACCGGCUAACUUCGUG